Molecule: long non-coding RNA, 374 nt
Filed under: Mytilus galloprovincialis (Mediterranean mussel)
Lineage: Eukaryota; Metazoa; Mollusca; Bivalvia; Mytilida; Mytilidae
Source: RNAcentral
CGCUGAAAAAACUGAGCUCCCAAAUCUGGACCAAAACGAGAAAAAAAAUAUCAAACAGUUCCGUAAUAAUAGGUACUUAACUUCAACAUAUGUGCAAUAUUCCUGUGAAGAUCCAGGGAUCUGGGUUGAAAACUGUAGGAGUUGCAUACCAAAUUUUGUAUCACGUGUCUUCCCGCCCAAAAUACACUAUUAUCACCCGAUUUGGAUUUUUUUUUAUCUUUUGUUUCCUUUUUACGUAUACAUCAAAUUGCCUGUUUAUCUAUAUCACAUUUAUAAAUAUGAUGAAAUGUAUUUUUUUAAAUAUGUAAUCAUUCUGUCAGUAGACAGAUGCAUAAGAAUAUUCCAACUUCAAGCUGUAGUAUACAAGAAAAAUG